RNAcentral lists this ribosomal RNA (254 nucleotides) under uncultured bacterium. Its description in RNAcentral is "partial 16S ribosomal RNA". It matches the Rfam family "Bacterial small subunit ribosomal RNA", at positions 79 to 334 of the family's 1533-position model. The record is from RNAcentral.
AAACUAAAGAUGGCGACCGGCGCACGGGUGAGUAACACGUAUCCAACCUGCCGAUAACUCGGGGAUAGCCUUUCGAAAGAAAGAUUAAUAUCCGAUAGUAUAUUAGAACCGCAUGGUUUUACUAUUAAAGAAUUUCGGUUAUCGAUGGGGAUGCGUUCCAUUAGUUUGUUGGCGGGGUAACGGCCCACCAAGACUACGAUGGAUAGGGGUUCUGAGAGGAAGGUCCCCCACAUUGGAACUGAGACACGGUCCAA